Molecule: ribosomal RNA, 256 nt
Filed under: uncultured bacterium
Lineage: Bacteria
Description: partial 16S ribosomal RNA
Rfam family: Bacterial small subunit ribosomal RNA
Source: RNAcentral
UACGUAGGGUGCAAGCGUUGUCCGGAAUUAUUGGGCGUAAAGAGCUCGUAGGCGGUCUGUCGCGUCGGCUGUGAAAACCCGGGGGCUCAACCCCGGGCCUGCAGUCGAUACGGGGCAGACUAGAGUGCGGUAGGGGGAGACUGGAAUUCCUGGUGUAGCGGUGAAAUGCGCAGAUAUCAGGAGGAACACCGGUGGCGAAGGCGGGUCUCUGGGCCGUAACUGACGCUGAGGAGCGAAAGCGUGGGGAGCGAACAGG